AGAAUCAACGCUGGCGGCGUGCCUAACACAUGCAAGUCGAACGAGAAAGUGGAGCAAUCUACAAGUACAGUGGCGUACGGGUGAGUAACACGUGACUAACCUACCCUCGAGUGUGGAAUAACUCCGGGAAACCGGGGCUAAUACCGCAUAAUAUCGCAAGAUCAAAGGAGCAAUCCGCUUGAGGAGGGGGUCGCGGCUGAUUAGCUAGUUGGCGGGGUAACGGCCCACCAAGGCGAAGAUCGGUAUCCGGCCUGAGAGGGCGCACGGACACACUGGAACUGAAACACGGUCCAGACUCCUACGGGAGGCAGCAGUGGGGAAUUUUGCGCAAUGGGGGAAACCCUGACGCAGCAACGCCGCGUGGAGGAUGAAGCCCCUUGGGGCGUAAACUCCUUUCGACCAAGACGAUGAUGACGGUACUGGUGGAAGAAGCACCGGCUAACUCUGUGCCAGCAGCCGCGGUAAUACAGAGGGUGCAAGCGUUGUUCGGAAUUAUUGGGCGUAAAGGGCGCGUAGGCGGCGCGGUAAGUCACCUGUGAAAUCCCCAGGCUUAACCUGGGGCCUGCAGGCGAAACUGCCGUGCUGGAGUAUGGGAGAGGUGCGUGGAAUUCCCGGUGUAGCGGUGAAAUGCGUAGAUAUCCGUAGGAACAUCCGAGGCGAAGGCGGCUCGCUGGAUCGCAACUGACGCUGAGGGACGAAAGCUAGGGGAGCAAACAGGAUUAGAUACCCUGGUAGUCCUAGCCCUAAACCAUCAGACUUUGGUGUGCCCUGUACGGGGCACGUCCCGUAGCUAACGCGUUAAGUCCUGCGCCCUGGGGAGUACGGUCGCAAGGCUGAA
Molecule: ribosomal RNA, 838 nt
Filed under: uncultured bacterium
Lineage: Bacteria
Description: bacterial SSU rRNA
Rfam family: Bacterial small subunit ribosomal RNA
Source: RNAcentral